Molecule: ribosomal RNA, 1767 nt
Filed under: uncultured bacterium
Lineage: Bacteria
Description: bacterial LSU rRNA
Rfam family: Bacterial large subunit ribosomal RNA
Source: RNAcentral
GGAAGUGAACCUCUCAGUACCUAGAGGAAGAGAAAACAACCGUGAUUCCGAUAGUAGUGGCGAGCGAACUCGGAACAGCCUAAACCAGGUGAUUCGAAAGGAAAAUCUGGGGUUGCAGGACCACAAUAUCCUGCUGAGUCAUCGGGCUCCGGCUCGAGGAUUUAGCAGGUUAAAAGAGGUAAUGAAAGCGAUAGGAGAAUGGUCUGACGAAAGGCCAGCCAUAGAGGGUAAUAGCCCCGUAUUCGAAAUUGCAAUCAUGCUUCAAGUGGCUCCUAAGUACCGCGGGACACGAGAAACCCUGCGGGAAUCUGCCGGGACCAUCCGGUAAGGCUAAAUACUCACUUGCGACCGAUAGUGAACUAGUACCGUGAGGGAAAGGUGAAAAGUACCCCUGUGAGGGGAGUGAAAUAGUACCUGAAACCGCAUGCCUACAAGCAGUGGGAGGGCUAUGGCCGCAAGGCAAAGCCUGACCUCGUGCCUAUUGAAUAAUGAGCUGGCUAGUUUGUGUUAGUGGCGAGGUUAAGCGAAAGCGAGCCGUAGCGAAAGCGAGUCUGAAUAGGGCGAUGAGUCGCUGGCACAAGACGCGAAGCGGGAUGAUCUACCCUUGGCCAGGAUGAAGUCGGUGUAACAACCGAUGGAGGUCCGAACUAGUGUUGGUUGAAAACAGCUUGGAUGAGCUGAGGGUAGGGGUGAAAGGCUAAUCAAAUUCCGUGAUAGCUCGUUCUCUCCGAAAUAGCUUUAGGGCUAGCCUCGUGUGGUCCGCCCCGGUGGUAGAGAUCUGGUUGAACUAGGGGGCUUCCCAGCCUACCGAAUUCAGUCAAACUGCGAAUGCCGGGAGCGAGGAGCACGGGAGUCAGACAGUCAGGGCUAAGCUUGAUUGUCAAAAGGGGAAGAGCCCAGACCAUCAACUAAGGCCCCCAAGUACAUGCUAAGUGGGAAAGGAAGUCGGGAGGCUCAAACAGCGAGGAGGUUGGCUUAGAAGCAGCCAUCCUUUAAAGAAAGCGUAAUAGCUCACUCGUCGAGCCGCCCGGUACCGACAAUCCACCGGGGCUCAAGCAUGUCGCCGAAGUUAUGGAAGUGCGCAAGCACUUGGUAGGAGAGCGUUCCCAACGCAAUCAAGGCCGACCGGAAGGACGGCUGGAGUGUUGGGAAGAGACUCUGCCAGCAUAAGUAGCGAUAAACGAGGUGAGAACCCUCGUCGCCGUAAGUCUAAGGUUUCCUGAGAAAGGUUAAUCCGCUCAGGGUUAGUCGGAGCCUAAGGUGAGGCCGAAAGGCGUAGCUGAUGGACACACGGUUAAUAUUCCGUGACUUCCGUAGGAGAUACCGAUGCGGGGACGCAGUUCCAAGCUCGCGGUUGGCAAUGGUUUCCAAUCGUGGGGGAGGGAAGAUCUGGAGAGGUAAAUCCGCCAGAUCGUCUGCCAGGAAAAGCCGCUAAGGGCCGAAGGAAUCCGUACCACAAACCGACACAGGUGGACAAGUUGAAUAUACUCAGGCGCUCGGGUGAUUGGUUGUUCAGGAACUAGGCAAAUUAACCCCGUAACUUCGGGAGAAGGGGUGCCUCAGCAAUGAGGUCGCAGUGAAUUGCGAAGGGCGACUGUUUAACAAAAACACAGGUCUCUGCAAAGUCUAAAACGACGUAUAGGGGCUGACGCCUGCCCGGUGCUGGAAGGUUAAAAGGAGGGGUUAGCGCAAGCGAAGCUCUGAAUUGAAGCCCCAGUGAACGGCGGCCGUAACUAUAACGGUCCUAAGGUAGCGAAAUUCCUUGUC